GCAUCUUUGGUCCAGCGGUAGGAUAAUCGCCUUCCAAGCCUUCCGUAUCCCGGAUUGGCAAGUCAGCGAUUGGCUCGGGUUCGACUCCCGGAAGAUGCA
This is a transfer RNA of Paraphaeosphaeria sporulosa, 99 nucleotides long. It matches the Rfam family "tRNA". From Rfam's summary of the family: Transfer RNA (tRNA) molecules are approximately 80 nucleotides in length. Their secondary structure includes four short double-helical elements and three loops (D, anti-codon, and T loops). Further hydrogen bonds mediate the characteristic L-shaped molecular structure. tRNAs have two regions of fundamental functional importance: the anti-codon, which is responsible for specific mRNA codon recognition, and the 3' end, to which the tRNAs corresponding amino acid is attached (by aminoacyl-tRNA synthetases). tRNAs cope with the degeneracy of the genetic code in two manners: having more than one tRNA (with a specific anti-codon) for a particular amino acid; and 'wobble' base-pairing, i.e. permitting non-standard base-pairing at the 3rd anti-codon position. The record is from Rfam. Lineage: Eukaryota; Fungi; Ascomycota; Dothideomycetes; Pleosporales; Didymosphaeriaceae.